RNAcentral lists this long non-coding RNA (344 nucleotides) under Salvator merianae (Argentine black and white tegu). RNAcentral's name for it is "lncRNA (ENSSMRG00000014438.1)". Lineage: Eukaryota; Metazoa; Chordata; Lepidosauria; Squamata; Teiidae. The record is from RNAcentral.
GCUCAGUGCAAGGGGAAAGUUUUAAACAGUCUUCAUCCUAGUGCUGCUGGUCCGGUGAAAUCUGGUGCCUUCAGCAGCUGAUUUAAAGUUUAUUUAAAAAAGAAAAAGGGAUUUGAACUUGAAGCUGNAUAUCCAUUUGCAAAGGGAGGCGCUCACUGCUGCUCACGAAGGGUCUCUUCAUCUUCCUGAUAUAUGGGGUGUACAACACAGAGUUCAACCCACUGUCAAUUGUAUUUCUGUAAACUUGUUAGCAUCUUCAGAUGCAAAAUACGAAGAUGGAUAGAGGAAGAUCAGAUCCUUUGCAUGAUGACAUAGGCCCCAGUGAGUUCAACAGGGUUUAUUCU